RNAcentral lists this signal recognition particle RNA (96 nucleotides) under Gammaproteobacteria bacterium. Its description in RNAcentral is "signal recognition particle sRNA small type". It matches the Rfam family "Bacterial small signal recognition particle RNA". From Rfam's summary of the family: The signal recognition particle (SRP) is a universally conserved ribonucleoprotein involved in the co-translational targeting of proteins to membranes. Archaeal SRP consists of a 7S RNA and homologues of the eukaryotic SRP19 and SRP54 proteins. The record is from RNAcentral. Lineage: Bacteria; Pseudomonadati; Pseudomonadota; Gammaproteobacteria.
GUUGGCCUCCCGGGCGGCGAUAGGUUGUGAACCCGGUCAGGUCCGGAAGGAAGCAGCCGCAACAUCCGAAUCGGGUGUCCGGGUCAGGCUGGCUGG